UCUCCCUAAAGGUUGAUUCCAGGUUUACCAACGGAUGAUAAACUGAGAAACAUCUUUAAAGGCCUAAAGAGAAAUACAUGUGGAACAGAAGACAUCACAAAGAGUUUGGAGAUUACAAAUGUUCGUGAACAACGUGAUGCUGCUGAAUGCCUGGAGAUGGUUUUACAUAAGAUCAACCCACAGGCCUCUAAGGUUUUCCAAGGACAGCUGACAUACACAACAAAAUGCUCCAAAGGCCACAGCAUCAAUGAAGAGACGAAUCCAUUCUGGACUCUUCCACUGUCACUAAAAGAUACCCAUGAUACAACCUACAGCGUGGUAAG
This is a long non-coding RNA of Sebastes umbrosus (honeycomb rockfish), 323 nucleotides long. RefSeq lists it as uncharacterized. NCBI's taxonomy places the organism in Eukaryota, Metazoa, Chordata, Actinopteri, Perciformes, Sebastidae. The record is from RefSeq and is a predicted model, not a curated record. The transcript is spliced from 3 exons.